RNAcentral lists this ribosomal RNA (255 nucleotides) under uncultured bacterium. Its description in RNAcentral is "partial 16S ribosomal RNA". It matches the Rfam family "Bacterial small subunit ribosomal RNA", at positions 524 to 776 of the family's 1533-position model. The record is from RNAcentral.
UACGUAGGGUGCGAGCGUUAAUCGGAAUUACUGGGCGUAAAGCGUGCGCAGGCGGUUCGUUGUGUCGGCGGUGAAAGCCCCGGGCUUAACCUGGGAAUGGCCGUUGAAACUGGCGAACUGGAGUGUGGCAGAGGGGGGUGGAAUUCCGCGUGGUAGCAGUGAAAUGCGUAGAGAUGCGGAGGAACACCGAUGGCGAAGGCAGCCCCCUGGGCUAACACUGACGCCUCAGGCACGAAAGCGUGGGGAGCAAACAGG